CUCUGCUGCUGGUUUUGGGUACCAGGUGGUUCAAAGACAAUCAGAUUUGCUCGUCAGUGCUCCCCUUGAACAGUAUUCACAAAAUGGAAGAGGAAAAGUAUAUAGCUGCACCACAUCUUCCCCAAACUGCCAAAAUAUCCAAAUUGAUGCACCCGAUUUUGCAGUAAACAUGUCUCUUGGUCUGACAAUGAAAAGCGAUCCCGCGACACAAAACACU
This is a long non-coding RNA of Pundamilia nyererei, 217 nucleotides long. RefSeq lists it as uncharacterized. NCBI's taxonomy places the organism in Eukaryota, Metazoa, Chordata, Actinopteri, Cichliformes, Cichlidae. The transcript has 3 exons. The record is from RefSeq and is a predicted model, not a curated record.